GACGAACGCUGGCGGCGUGCCUAAUACAUGCAAGUUGAGCGAUGAAGAUUGGUGCUUGCACCAAUUUGAAGAGCAGCGAACGGGUGAGUAACGCGUGGGGAAUCUGCCUUUGAGCGGGGGACAACAUUUGGAAACGAAUGCUAAUACCGCAUAACAACUUUAAACAUAAGUUUUAAGUUUGAAAGAUGCAAUUGCAUCACUCAAAGAUGAUCCCGCGUUGUAUUAGCUAGUUGGUGAGGUAAAGGCUCACCAAGGCGAUGAUACAUAGCCGACCUGAGAGGGUGAUCGGCCACAUUGGGACUGAGACACGGCCCAAACUCCUACGGGGGGCAGCAGUAGGGAAUCUUCGGCAAUGGACGAAAGUCUGACCGAGCAACGCCGCGUGAGUGAAGAAGGUUUUCGGAUCGUAAAACUCUGUUGGUAGAGAAGAACGUUGGUGAGAGUGGAAAGCUCAUCAAGUGACGGUAACGACCCAGAAAGGGACGGCUAACUACGU
This 496-nucleotide ribosomal RNA is filed under the name uncultured bacterium. RNAcentral's name for it is "partial 16S ribosomal RNA". It matches the Rfam family "Bacterial small subunit ribosomal RNA", at positions 28 to 506 of the family's 1533-position model. The record is from RNAcentral.